Molecule: ribosomal RNA, 860 nt
Filed under: Aigialus parvus
Lineage: Eukaryota; Fungi; Ascomycota; Dothideomycetes; Pleosporales; Aigialaceae
Description: eukaryotic LSU rRNA
Rfam family: Eukaryotic large subunit ribosomal RNA
Source: RNAcentral
ACAGGGAUUGCCUCAGUAACGGCGAGUGAAGCGGCAACAGCUCAAAUUUGAAAUCUGGCUCCCUUUCGGGGUCCGAGUUGUACUUUGUAGAGGGUGCUUUGGCGUUUGGUAGCGGUCUAAGUUCUUUGGGACAAGACGUCACGGAGGGUGAGAAUCCCGUAUGUGGCCGCGUAACCUCGCCAUGUAAAGCCCCUUCGACGAGUCGAGUUGUUUGGGAAUGCAGCUCUAAAUGGGAGGUAAAUUUCUUCUAAAGCUAAAUACUGGCCAGAGACCGAUAGCGCACAAGUAGAGUGAUCGAAAGAUGAAAAGCACUUUGGAAAGAGAGUCAAAAAGCACGUGAAAUUGUUGAAAGGGAAGCGCUCACAGCCAGACGUGCUCGUGGCUGCUCAUCCGGACACGUGUCCGGUGCACUCUCCCACGAGCAGGCCAGCAUCGGUUUGGGCGGUUGGACAAAGGCGCCGGGAAUGUAGCUCCCUCCGGGGAGCGUUAUAGCCCGGCGCGCAAUGCAGCCAGCCCAGAUCGAGGCCCGCGCGCAUGCUAGGAUGCUGGCGUAAUGGCUGUGAGCGGCCCGUCUUGAAACACGGACCAAGGAGUCUAACAUCCAUGCGAGUGUUUGGGUGUCAAAUCCCAGGCGCGCAAUGAAAGUGAACGGAGGUGGGAACCCUCUUCGAGGGCGCACCAUCGACCGAUCCUGAUGUCUUCGGAUGGAUUUGAGUAAGAGCAUGGCUGUUGGGACCCGAAAGAUGGUGAACUAUGCCUGAAUAGGGCGAAGCCAGAGGAAACUCUGGUGGAGGCUCGCAGCGGUUCUGACGUGCAAAUCGAUCGUCGAAUUUGGGCAUAGGGGCGAAAGACUAAUCGAA